UCCUCCAACUUCCUGCCAUGAUUGACUUG
Molecule: non-coding RNA, 29 nt
Filed under: Rattus norvegicus (Norway rat)
Lineage: Eukaryota; Metazoa; Chordata; Mammalia; Rodentia; Muridae
Source: RNAcentral